Molecule: non-coding RNA, 445 nt
Organism: Salmo salar (Atlantic salmon)
Lineage: Eukaryota; Metazoa; Chordata; Actinopteri; Salmoniformes; Salmonidae
Source: RefSeq, a predicted model, not a curated record
UAUUUCGCGCCCUGCUAUUCCAUUGGCUGUUGGCUAGGUCCGCUAGCGGAACUCCUGUCCAUAACAGGUUUUAACAGGAACAGGAUGUGCCUGUCCAACCCUCUUUCCCACAUCAAGGAUGGUGUCACAUGGUCACACAGCUCUCUUCAUUGAGACGGCACAAUAGAAGCAUCAGUGUCGCCCAUUAUCCCCUAUGUAUUCAUACCUGUGUUCUGUCUUUUGCCAGUUUGUUUUGUUUCAUCAAGUCUACCAGUGUUUUUCCCUCUGCUCCUGUCUCUCGAUUGUUCCUGUUUCCUAAUUUCCCCGGCGUUGACCAUUCUGCCUGACCCUUGAGCCUGCCUGCCGUCCUGUACCUUUGCCCCACCUAUCUGGAGUACUGACCUCUGCCUGCCCUGGACCUGUCCUUUUGCCUGCCCAUGUUCGAAUAAUAAACGUAAUUUCGAAA